GAUGAAGAACGUAGCGAAAUGCGAUAAGUAAUGUGAAUUGCAGAAUUCCGUGAAUCAUCGAAUCUUUGAACGCAUAUUGCGCCCGCUGGUAUUCCGGCGGGCAUGCCUGUUCGAGCGUCAUUUCAACCCUCAAGCCCCCGGGUUUGGUGUUGGGGAUCGGCUCUGCCCUUCUGGGCGGUGCCGCCCCCGAAAUACAUUGGCGGUCUCGCUGCAGCCUCCAUUGCGUAGUAGCUAACACCUCGCAACUGGAACGCGGCGCGGCCAUGCCGUAAAACCCCAACUUCUGAAUGUUGACCUCGGAUCAGGUAGGAAUACCCGCUGAACUUAAGCAUAUCAAUAAGCGGAGGA
This 348-nucleotide unclassified non-coding RNA is filed under the name soil metagenome. Its description in RNAcentral is "partial contains 5.8S ribosomal RNA, internal transcribed spacer 2, and large subunit ribosomal RNA". The stretch from base 1 to 120 matches the Rfam family "5.8S ribosomal RNA", at positions 35 to 154 of the family's 154-position model. The record is from RNAcentral.